AUUGAACGCUGGCGGCAGGCCUAACACAUGCAAGUCGAGCGAGCGGCGGACGGGUGAGUAAUGUAUGGGGACUGCCCGAUAGAGGGGGAUAACUACUGGAAACGGUGGCUAAUACCGCAUACUAUCGGAUAACCCAUAGGGGAUUAGCUAGUAGGUGGGGUAAAGGCGCACCUAGGCGACGAUCCCUAGCUGGUCUGAGAGGAUGAUAAGCCACACUGGGACUGAGACACGGCCCAGACUCCUAGGGAGGCAGCAGUGGGGAAUUUUCGGCAAUGGACGAAAGUCUGAACGAGCAACGCCGCGUGGGGGAAGAAGGUUUUCGGAUCGUAAAACUCUAUUGUUAGAGAAGCGGUAUCUAACCAAAAAGCCACGGCUAACUACGUGCCAGCAGCCGCGGUAAUAC
RNAcentral lists this ribosomal RNA (403 nucleotides) under uncultured bacterium. Its description in RNAcentral is "partial 16S ribosomal RNA". It matches the Rfam family "Bacterial small subunit ribosomal RNA", at positions 30 to 526 of the family's 1533-position model. The record is from RNAcentral.